CCUACGGGAGGCAGCAGUGGGGAAUAUUGGACAAUGGGCGAAAGCCUGAUCCAGCCAUGCCGCGUGUGUGAAGAAGGCCUUCGGGUUGUAAAGCACUUUCAGUGGGGAAGAAAGCCUUGGGGCUAAUACCCUCGAGGAAGGACAUCACCCACAGAAGAAGCACCGGCUAACUCCGUGCCAGCAGCCGCGGUAAUACGGAGGGUGCGAGCGUUAAUCGGAAUUACUGGGCGUAAAGCGCGCGUAGGCGGUCUGAUAAGCCGGUUGUGAAAGCCCCGGGCUCAACCUGGGAACGGCAUCCGGAACUGUCGGGCUAGAGUGCAGGAGAGGAAGGUAGAAUUCCCGGUGUAGCGGUGAAAUGCGUAGAGAUCGGGAGGAAUACCAGUGGCGAAGGCGGCCUUCUGGACUGACACUGACGCUGAGGUGCGAAAGCGUGGGUAGCAAACAGGAUUAGAUACCCCUGUAGUC
This 465-nucleotide ribosomal RNA is filed under the name Vreelandella stevensii. RNAcentral describes it as "partial 16S ribosomal RNA". It matches the Rfam family "Bacterial small subunit ribosomal RNA", at positions 338 to 795 of the family's 1533-position model. Lineage: Bacteria; Pseudomonadati; Pseudomonadota; Gammaproteobacteria; Oceanospirillales; Halomonadaceae. The record is from RNAcentral.